RNAcentral lists this long non-coding RNA (309 nucleotides) under Mytilus galloprovincialis (Mediterranean mussel). The record is from RNAcentral. Lineage: Eukaryota; Metazoa; Mollusca; Bivalvia; Mytilida; Mytilidae.
GGCCGCCAUUGUCAUGGAAACAGGGCAAAUGUUUAACAUUGAGCCUAUGGACAAAUACAUAAAAGCUGCAUUUUCUUUAAGAAUAUUGCAUAGAGAUCAAUGAAACUGUAUUGAUAUAUAACAUGACAUAUGGCAAUGAGAUGCCUGCUUUUAGAAUUUUGGAAUUAUCUACUGUAACCAUGGAAACAGUAAAAAUAUCAAAAUUUCAAAAAAAAAUCAAAAUGCUGCAAACUGGAUGAAACUUUACAGAAAUGAUAACUGGCAUGGGCAGAAUUGCAUUUUGGAGUUGGAAAUUUCAAAAUGGCCGCC